RNAcentral lists this ribosomal RNA (448 nucleotides) under Bacillus subtilis. Its description in RNAcentral is "bacterial SSU rRNA". It matches the Rfam family "Bacterial small subunit ribosomal RNA", at positions 359 to 802 of the family's 1533-position model. Lineage: Bacteria; Bacillati; Bacillota; Bacilli; Caryophanales; Bacillaceae. The record is from RNAcentral.
AGGANUCGCAUGGAGAAGUCUGACGGAGCAACGCCGCGUGAGUGAUGAAGGUUUUCGGAUCGUAAAGCUCUGUUGUUAGGGAAGAACAAGUGCCGUUCNAAUAGGGCGGCACCUUGACGGUACCUAACCAGAAAGCCACGGCUAACUACGUGCCAGCAGCCGCGGUAAUACGUAGGUGGCAAGCGUUGUCCGGAAUUAUUGGGCGUAAAGGGCUCGCAGGCGGUUUCUUAAGUCUGAUGUGAAAGCCCCCGGCUCAACCGGGGAGGGUCAUUGGAAACUGGGGAACUUGAGUGCAGAAGAGGAGAGUGGAAUUCCACGUGUAGCGGUGAAAUGCGUAGAGAUGUGGAGGAACACCAGUGGCGAAGGCGACUCUCUGGUCUGUAACUGACGCUGAGGAGCGAAAGCGUGGGGAGCGAACAGGAUUAGAUACCCUGNAGGUUCCACGCAA